AACGAACGCUGGCGGCAUGCCUAACACAUGCAAGUCGAACGAGACCUUCGGGUCUAGUGGCGCACGGGUGCGUAACGCGUGGGAAUCUGCCCUUAGGUUCGGAAUAACAGUUAGAAAUGACUGCUAAUACCGGAUGAUGACUUCGGUCCAAAGAUUUAUCGCCUAAGGAUGAGCCCGCGUAAGAUUAGCUAGUUGGUGAGGUAAAGGCUCACCAAGGCUACGAUCUUUAGCUGGUCUGAGAGGAUGAUCAGCCACACUGGGACUGAGACACGGCCCAGACUCCUACGGGAGGCAGCAGUGGGGAAUAUUGGACAAUGGGCGAAAGCCUGAUCCAGCAAUGCCGCGUGAGUGAUGAAGGCCUUAGGGUUGUAAAGCUCUUUUACCCGGGAUGAUAAUGACAGUACCGGGAGAAUAAGCUCCGGCUAACUCCGUGCCAGCAGCCGCCGUAA
This 449-nucleotide ribosomal RNA is filed under the name uncultured bacterium. RNAcentral's name for it is "partial 16S ribosomal RNA". It matches the Rfam family "Bacterial small subunit ribosomal RNA", at positions 29 to 523 of the family's 1533-position model. The record is from RNAcentral.